AAAACAAUACGGGACAUUGUUGGAAUUAUAAGUUCUACUGACGUGCGCCGGCCAGUGCAUUUGCCUUUGAUCCCCUAUCUAACUGCCCAGUCGUCGGACGAAGCGGGGGGGAUCAUCGAGAUAACUUUCUCUACCUAACCAUAACUUCUCAUGACAAAACCAAAUAACACCAAAAUAAGUGUUAUGUCACAAACGUUUACAUUGUUCAUGUAGUGGAGUAAUAAGUAUAAUAUUUCUCUUUGAAAUGUAGUUGAGUAGAAGUAGAAAGACGUAUGAGGAGAAAGGAAUUAAAUUAAGUACAAUGCAUAAGUAAAUGUACUUAGUUACUGUACAUUUCACCACUGCUGACAAAUAUACACGCGCUGCUCUGUGGGACCAGUCUGGAGAUUCAGCGGGCGAACUGAGUGACAUCAAACUGUCUUUAUAAUAAUCGUUAAAUGGCCUAGAAUAUGCGCUGGCAGCUGACAAUAUACCUGAGGGUUCUUGUAGGUCUUCAUCUUGUAGACAGAUUUCCAGGAAUUCAGAAAUUGUGAUUCUUAAUUAAAUACAAUUUUAAUUAUAGUAUCAAAUCAUGACAAUAGUUAUCUCAAUACACUUGCAGAUAGAGUAGAUCUAGGCCACAUUCUACAAUAAACAAAGACCCAACAUUUUCCCACGAGCUAGCACUUGGUGGAAUUCAUUUUGUUUUUGUUUUCUGCAUUUAAACCAAAUGAUUAUUUGACUCAGGUCUGCUUGAGUGUAGCAAGAUAUUAGAAAUACCAGAAACUAUGGCAAGCAAUGUGGUCCAAAGGUGUAACUUGUAACUUUGAGCACUUGUUUAUCAGACAUCUUUUAUCAAAUUGUGAUGACCCAUUGUAUAAUAUACUGUGUGGUAAUCUUUGAAAAUGCAGAGCAGGUAGACCUCAGGUUGACCUAUAUGCACUCACACACACAGCAUUACACAUAGCACACAUUCAAGCACAUACAGUACAUGUUACAUACACAUAUCAUACAAAGAUGUCAAUGUCAAAACACUCCAGGGUGUUUCUGUAGUUGUUUGAGGUGUAGUCUACAUCCACAAUGGUUCACUUCCGGGAUUGCUCCAGUGCCGAUGGAUAUUCAACCGGAUGUCCACUUUCGCUUUCUUUGAUUUUGACAUUUUAAACUCCAGUGGAUUUACGAGUAUUAUGGCGAACUGCUCCUCAGAUCUCUGUAGGGAAAAUCCCAACAGCUAGCUAGACUAUCUGUCCAAUCUGAGUUUUCUGUUCCACGACUAAAAUUACUUUUGAGUGUACACAUUUUCCACCAAAACCAGUUUCUUCCCGAGGCUAUUUUGCAGCGGCACCGGGGCUCCGCCCGGCGCUUAGCACCGCCCUUGGACGAUAGACCUUUUUCACGGCAGACACGUUGACAUGUCAUAGUAGGAAAAGCACUGGUGUAUUGAAAACCAUUAAGGAUGGCUGCAGGAGAGACUCUGGUAAUGUGCAUGACUACCUGAGGCCUUGGUCAUUUUGUCAAACGGAGACAUUUCCCUUUAUUUGUGCCCUUCGUUUACACGCAAACUGAGAAUUCACCUCUGAAAACGAGUGUUUCUAAAAACUCCGACCAGAGAGGAGAUCUUUGAAAUCUUUGUUUUCAUGUUAACUGAGACAAACGGAGGUUUGGGCAGCUGAGGAAUAGAAGAAAGACGAAGUGAUUGGUUGUUGUUGUUGGUAAUUUAGGGAUUCUGAUUGGCUAAUGCGGGCUUGAGAUUUUUGUUACACUGCCACCUACAGGUUUGGCCUGCUCUUGACAGCAUAUAUACACAGGUAUGUGUAAAUGAACACUUUUCUGAAAACUGACAACUGUGCACAAUGUUUUUUGUGACACUGGAGAGGUUGAAAUGUCCGUUUAUGGAUAUAGCCGGCCACAUGUAAACAUAGCCUAAAAUAGCUUACUGGGACAUUUAAUGCCAUGAGCCAUUGUUAAGGUUAUCAAUCUCAGCUGUGCUUUUCCUACUAUGACAAGUCAAAAUG
This is a long non-coding RNA of Etheostoma cragini (Arkansas darter), 1994 nucleotides long. RefSeq lists it as uncharacterized. Lineage: Eukaryota; Metazoa; Chordata; Actinopteri; Perciformes; Percidae. The transcript is spliced from 2 exons. The record is from RefSeq and is a predicted model, not a curated record.